UACAGAGGGUGCGAGCGUUAAUCGGAUUUACUGGGCGUAAAGCGUGCGUAGGCGGCUUUUUAAGUCGGAUGUGAAAUCCCCGGGCUUAACUUGGGAAUUGCAUUGGAUACUGGGAAGCUAGAGUACGGGAGAGGAGGGUGGAAUUCCAGGUGUAGCGGUGAAAUGCGUAGAUAUCUGGAGGAAUACCGAUUGCGAAGGCAGCCAUCUGGCCUAAUAUUGACGCUGAGGCACGAAAGCAUGGGGAGCAAACAGG
This 253-nucleotide unclassified non-coding RNA is filed under the name uncultured Moraxellaceae bacterium. RNAcentral describes it as "contains 16S-23S intergenic spacer region". It matches the Rfam family "Bacterial small subunit ribosomal RNA", at positions 524 to 776 of the family's 1533-position model. The record is from RNAcentral. Lineage: Bacteria; Pseudomonadati; Pseudomonadota; Gammaproteobacteria; Moraxellales; Moraxellaceae.